Molecule: ribosomal RNA, 253 nt
Filed under: uncultured bacterium
Lineage: Bacteria
Description: partial 16S ribosomal RNA
Rfam family: Bacterial small subunit ribosomal RNA
Source: RNAcentral
UACGUAGGUGGCAAGCGUUGUCCGGAUUUAUUGGGUUUAAAGGGUGCGUAGGCGGCUUUGUAAGUCAGUGGUGAAAUAUGGCAGCUCAACUGUCAGGGUGCCAUUGAUACUGCAGAGCUUGAGUACAGAUGAGGUAGGCGGAAUUGACGGUGCAGCGGUGAAAUGCUUAGAUAUCGUCAAGAACACCGAUAGCGAAGGCAGCUUACUGGGCUGUAACUGACGCUGAGGCACGAAAGUGUGGGGAUCAAACAGG